AAGAAAGAAGCACUAAUUGGUUUGGUGCGGUUGGCUUGAAACCAGCAUAUGAGGGUUCGAUUCCUUCCUUUCUUG
RNAcentral lists this transfer RNA (75 nucleotides) under Dactylortyx thoracicus. RNAcentral's name for it is "tRNA-Ser". It matches the Rfam family "tRNA". From Rfam's summary of the family: Transfer RNA (tRNA) molecules are approximately 80 nucleotides in length. The record is from RNAcentral. Lineage: Eukaryota; Metazoa; Chordata; Aves; Galliformes; Odontophoridae.